GAUGGGAGCUUGCUCCCUGAUGUUAGCGGCGGACGGGUGAGUAACACGUGGGUAACCUGCCUGUAAGACUGGGAUAACUCCGGGAAACCGGGGCUAAUACCGGAUGGUUGUUUGAACCGCAUGGUUCAAACAUAAAAGGUGGCUUCGGCUACCACUUACAGAUGGACCCGCGGCGCAUUAGCUAGUUGGUGAGGUAACGGCUCACCAAGGCAACGAUGCGUAGCCGACCUGAGAGGGUGAUCGGCCACACUGGGACUGAGACACGGCCCAGACUCCUACGGGAGGCAGCAGUAGGGAAUCUUCCGCAAUGGACGAAAGUCUGACGGAGCAACGCCGCGUGAGUGAUGAAGGUUUUCGGAUCGUAAAGCUCUGUUGUUAGGGAAGAACAAGUACCGUUCGAAUAGGGCGGUACCUUGACGGUACCUAACCAGAAAGCCACGGCUAACUACGUGCCAGCAGCCGCGGUAAUACGUAGGUGGCAAGCGUUGUCCGGAAUUAUUGGGCGUAAAGGGCUCGCAGGCGGUUUCUUAAGUCUGAUGUGAAAGCCCCCGGCUCAACCGGGGAGGGUCAUUGGAAACUGGGGAACUUGAGUGCAGAAGAGGAGAGUGGAAUUCCACGUGUAGCGGUGAAAUGCGUAGAGAUGUGGAGGAACACCAGUGGCGAAGGCGACUCUCUGGUCUGUAACUGACGCUGAGGAGCGAAAGCGUGGGGAGCGAACAGGAUUAGAUACCCUGGUAGUCCACGCCGUAAACGAUGAGUGCUAAGUGUUAGGGGGUUUCCGCCCCUUAGUGCUGCAGCUAACGCAUUAAGCACUCCGCCUGGGGAGUACGGUCGCAAGACUGAAACUCAAAGGAAUUGACGGGGGCCCGCACA
RNAcentral lists this ribosomal RNA (873 nucleotides) under Bacillus subtilis. RNAcentral describes it as "bacterial SSU rRNA". It matches the Rfam family "Bacterial small subunit ribosomal RNA", at positions 71 to 927 of the family's 1533-position model. Lineage: Bacteria; Bacillati; Bacillota; Bacilli; Caryophanales; Bacillaceae. The record is from RNAcentral.